This is a long non-coding RNA of Triticum dicoccoides, 3593 nucleotides long. RefSeq lists it as uncharacterized. NCBI's taxonomy places the organism in Eukaryota, Viridiplantae, Streptophyta, Magnoliopsida, Poales, Poaceae. The record is from RefSeq and is a predicted model, not a curated record. The transcript is spliced from 4 exons.
GACGACCGCCCUCGUGAAAAAGAACCAUACCACGACCCCCUCACACGAAGAAAAAAACUAACGAUCUCCCCCGCGCCUGGGAACUCGAUCUGGAUCUCGGCGGCGGCUCCUCUCUCUCUCUCGCUCUCCGCGCAUCGACGCAUCCCCCGGAGCACUCCCCACCUCCUCCCUUUUCAGCGCCCACAUCGCGACCCCUGUGGCUACUCCGUUGAGGCGUCGGCUUGACGGAGAUGAAGAAGAUAGCCAGGUGAUGCGGUACUCGGGAGGUGGAAUUGGCGACGAAGGUGGCUCCAUCGAAGAGGGACGAUGUGCUUCGGUGGUCAACGGCGGCUGCGCGGGAUGCCGUAUGGUAUGGAUCGGGCAUCUCGAGGAUGGGCUCUCUUCGCAAGUCCUCCUACACGCCACGGAGGUGUUUGAGGAGUCUGUCCCGGGGCUGCGUGUGAAGCACGUCGACGUCUCCAUCUUGGCAUUGCUCAACACCGCCCUGCCGGCUGGGGUCUUUAUUUUCCAUAGAGGCCUUCCGCAACAGGGUCCAUGAUGCCUGAUUGUUUCCUCUUCGGCUGGAUCGGGUCCAACCACACAAUUAUUGUACUACUCUCUUGAGUGGCAAAUAUUUACUGAGAUGGGAUAAUAGUGCAGGUUGAUGUGUGUAGCACGUGUUAACAAAAUCUCAAUUAUCUGCAUGGUAUAUAUAUCUCUAAUCAUUGUCUUUUCCAGAAUGAAGAGAAGGUAUGAGAAAGAUAAUACUAAUAUUCCCUAUACAUCUGACAUUUAACUUUUAUGAGAUUCUUGGAUUCCUCAAAAUCAUGUCUAUUAGUGUUUCUUCAAUAUAUAUAUGCAUGAUCUUUCCUUUUGAAAUUCUCAUUAUGUACAUGAUUUUUGCUACUGCUGGCCUUGAAUUGGCACUGAUUUGGGCCACCUUGUUGAAUGAUUCGUGCACGCAUGUGUUUCGUUGGUCUUUUGCGAUAUGUGGGGAGCGUAAACUGGAAGAACGUGUGCAGCAGGCAUCGCUGCUGCGCUGGACGACGUUGUGUGAGGCCAUGGCCAUGGACGAUGUGCUGUUGGAGAACGGCGUAGGACUAAGGUAGUCGAUGUGAACGACCACUAGGUAUGUAAUGGUUUAGUCCUCCUGAAUUUGCACUCUGUUUUUUAGUCCUCUGUAGUGUUGUUCAAUUUGGGCAGGGCUUACAUUCUCUCAUAGGAUCAGACCAAACAAGGUCUUAUAAGCUUUGCCAUUGUUUUGUUCAUAACAUAAAAACAGCCAUUAUCGAGGAAAGAGUCAUUCUCACAUAGCGAUUUGUUUGCCUCGUUGCAGAAUUCCAAUUGCUUUUGGAUUCGUAUGAUGCAGCCUACAUGUUCCCAUCACCCAGUAAAAUAUAGACAUCAAUUAUUGCAUCUGGGUUUAUAUUAUGCAUCCCCGCUCGCAGUUUCAUUGUUGAGUAGGAAUGAAGAUUAUAUUUAUAAAUGAUAUAUGUAUGUAAUUGUGUGCUGCAUUCUUGCUGCUUCCAGUAGAUGUACUAUCUUUUCAGCGUUGACUUUUAAAGCGUUUUUGCUGACAAGAGGCUUAUCGGUUGUAAUGUUCAGCACCUACAUUACCUGAUGGUCAUGUAGUGCUAGGGAUUAGCGAUUAAAGAAACAUCGAGCAUAUUAAUGUGGGAAAUAGAUAUACAAUAUGUUAUAAAGGAUAAGACAAGUAAUUAUUGGGUGUGAAAGGUCAGGAUGGAAUCAUUUUUUUUGCUAUCAUAUGAAUUAUUGAAUACAAUCUGGUAUGCAACCCCUCAAAAUUAGAUUUAAUUCAUGCUCGUACACCAUCACUUAAAUAGGAAAAGAGAAGUAUUUCUAAGGCUACUCUAUAUCUUGUUUUUCUUUCACAGCAUAUACAUUAUUAGUUAUAUGUUUGCCUGGGUAGGAAAGUAACAAUCAAUCCCUCAAAAUAAAAGGAAACUAAUGAUCAAGACCUUAGCUGGCUGAUGGUAACUCCAUUCAUUCUCUUCCUAUUAUUAUUAUUUUAGUUAUUUUUCUAUUCUCAUCGGUAGGUUUCUUCUGUGUUGUUUUGCUUUAGUUUCGUAGUUGUCACUCCCGUGUAUUUCUUUGAUGAGGAGGUGUGGACACGAGGCCUAACUAUCUGGUAUAAAUUGGUUUUCCCACUAUCGCUGUGAGAUUGGAUUGUUGUUCCCUUUUCUGCACAUGAUUGUUCCACUUGUGAUUUAUCAUAUAUGAAUUGCUACUUGACAUCCUCUUGUUGACUGCUGGUUGUGUUUGUUCUCUUGCCAAAGGCCGGGACUUUGAGUUGCCUGCAAUGGUGGAGCUCGGGAUGUUGGCAGAUCUGACCGGACUGGUGAGCACUCUGCCCACACCUGCCGAGGUCACCCUGCUCUGUGCCAUGCUCGGUAACUCACCCUCGCUGAUGGUAAUGUUAUGCACAAAAUGCUGAUGAAGUUGUGUACUGAUUCAAUGAACUGAAUUUUAAUGAGCUGAUGGUGAUGAUAUAUUUUUUGUGAACUAAAAAAGUGUAUCCCCAUAUUGGUGCUUUUAGGAAAUGGCGAAUUUACGUAUCCUUAUCAACCUUAUACUAAUACAUGUAUCUGUAUCGGUGCAUUCUUGGAUUUCAUGUAUAAGCCGCUCAAGAGAAAUUUAAAUAAGGUUGUUAUGUUUCAGCAUACUAUACAUACUUUCCCCUAGACAAUGCUGCAAUACUGUCAUGUGAUAACUAGUACUGAUAUAAGGACCCUUAUCUUCAGUGCCAUUUAGAGUAACAGUCUACAAUGCCACAACACUUUGUUGGACCUGUUUUUGGCGUUUCUUCUGCCAGGUAUCUCUAUGAUUUAAGUAGAUAGAAGUUAUUAAUUACACGUUCAUUGUGGUCGAUCGACUGUCUCUCUUCUACAAUUGGAAAUCUGUUAUGUUCUGAUGAGAUGCUAUCGUAUGACUAAUAUGUAACUGGUGAGGUUUUAUGUCUCAUAGUUAAACUUUGUUUCAUAUUUUGAACUGGUUAUUGAACAUUUUUGUUUCCAUGACAGUAGAUCUAUAUCGGGAUUUAUAGCAUAUGCUCUAUGUGCAGCCAUGGGCGGAUCCAGCCCAGCGCCCCGGGCCCCCUUUGUAUACUGUAGCAGUUGCUACAAUAUUUUCCCUACAGCCCACAAAGAAAAUGGGCCUCACGCCCCGGGCCUGGGGCCUAGAUCCGCCAUUGUGUGCAGCUGAUGAGUCUUUCAAGGAUGCAAAUUGUGUGCCUUCGGAAAAUCAGAAUUAGGAAAGAAUGGGAUUUAUAGCAUAUAUGCUCUAUGUGCAGCUGAUGAAGCUUUGAGAGAUGAAAAUUGGUUGCCUUCGGAAAAUAAGAAGGAAAGAACGGUACCAAUUGCUUUUAGUGGAAGCUCUUUUCCUUUUUUGUAUUUUUGCCGAGUCGCUGAAUCUAAUUAGAGCUUUUAUCAGGGUGUUUCAAUUGGUGGGGGAAUCGGAAGCAUCUCAGACAUUUUUAAAUGCAUGACUGCUGAUUGCUGAAAAUGUUCAUACCCACAGUCAUUGCAAUUUUUUUUAUUCUCAUUCUUUUGAGAGAAUUCCUUAUUUGACACUACCUUAAAAUGUGGUUCCCUAUU